This 67-nucleotide transfer RNA is filed under the name Urochela quadrinotata (four-spotted shield-bug). RNAcentral's name for it is "tRNA-Ala". It matches the Rfam family "tRNA". From Rfam's summary of the family: Transfer RNA (tRNA) molecules are approximately 80 nucleotides in length. Their secondary structure includes four short double-helical elements and three loops (D, anti-codon, and T loops). Further hydrogen bonds mediate the characteristic L-shaped molecular structure. tRNAs have two regions of fundamental functional importance: the anti-codon, which is responsible for specific mRNA codon recognition, and the 3' end, to which the tRNAs corresponding amino acid is attached (by aminoacyl-tRNA synthetases). tRNAs cope with the degeneracy of the genetic code in two manners: having more than one tRNA (with a specific anti-codon) for a particular amino acid; and 'wobble' base-pairing, i.e. permitting non-standard base-pairing at the 3rd anti-codon position. The record is from RNAcentral. Lineage: Eukaryota; Metazoa; Arthropoda; Insecta; Hemiptera; Urostylididae.
GGGACAAUAGUUAAAAAUAUAACAUUUAAUUUGCAAUUAAAAAUUAUUAAAAUAUUAAUUUGUCUCA